CCUUGCUGCUGGAAGCUCCUGGCAGGAAGGGCUGCUGGUACUGGAAGCUGUCGUUUAUUUCCUGUUUCAUCACAGUUAGAGAGAGUGGGUCCGGCCGUGUGAUGCUGCCCCCGCGCUGCCGCCCGACACUGCAGAAGAAGGAACACAGAGACAGCCUUCGCUGCUGGGAGCUGAGCUCUCAGGCUGUCAGGGGGCGGAGCCAAGCUCGGGCAGAAGGAAGAGACAGAAGAAUGUCCACUCCGGUGCAGUACAGGUGACAGGGAGUGUCGCCACCUUUCUCCCGGAUCGGACGCUCCGCCUCCCUGCAGUGUCUUCAGGGAGAGACAUGAUAACAUGGGGGUUUGAGGAGAAGGCAUUCCAGCUCACAGUGUAGGAGCAGCAGCCCAGCGAGUCCGGAGUCAGACCUCUGGUGACCUUUUUACCCCACCUGCCGUCAGUGACAACUUGGGGUGGCAAAGGCCUCUCAUUUGCAAUGAUGUGUGCAAAGACUACAUUCGUGUGGAUCCUAUGCUUCACAGCAUUUCUUCCCGGAGUUUACUCCAAAGUUGAUGGAGCUGAUCAAUGUCAUCUGAGGAGUACCGCCAAUUCUGGUCAGGAUUCAUUGAUCUGUACCAUCACAACGAGUGCCUGUGGCGUGUCAGAAGCCCGGACUAUGCCAACAGAAUCAAGCGGAAUCGGGCAUAUCAGCAGCUUAUUGAGUACAGUAGAGGCAGAAACUCUGAUGUCGAUGUGAAUUGGGUGAAGAAAAAAUUUUCAAAUUUCCGAACAGUGUUCGUGAAGGAACGCAAGAAGGUGCAAGAUUCACAGCGAUCCGGAGCCGGGUGCACU
This is a long non-coding RNA of Pseudophryne corroboree (corroboree frog), 828 nucleotides long. RefSeq lists it as uncharacterized. Lineage: Eukaryota; Metazoa; Chordata; Amphibia; Anura; Myobatrachidae. The transcript is spliced from 5 exons. The record is from RefSeq and is a predicted model, not a curated record.